AGUGAACGCUGGCGGCAGGCCUAACACAUGCAAGUCGAGCGGCAGCGCGGGGGCAACCCUGGCGGCGAGCGGCGGACGGGUGAGGAAUUCGUCGGAAUCUGCCUUUUUGUGGGGGAUAACGUAGGGAAACUUACGCUAAUACCGCAUACGUCCUACGGGAGAAAGUGGGGGACCGCAAGGCCUCACGCAGAAAGAUGAGCCGACGACCGAUUAGCUAGUUGGUGGGGUAAAGGCCCACCAAGGCGACGAUCGGUAGCUGGUCUGAGAGGAUGAUCAGCCACACUGGGAGUGAGACACGGCCCAGACUACUACGGGAGGCAGCAGUGGGGAAUAUUGGACAAUGGGCGCAAGCCUGAUCCAGCCAUGCGGAGUGUGUGAAGAAGGCCUUCGGGUUGUAAAGAACGUUUGUCCGGAAAGAAAUCCCUGGGGCUAAUACCUUCGGGGGAUGACGGUACCGGAAGAAGAAGCACCGGCUAACUUCGUG
Molecule: ribosomal RNA, 484 nt
Filed under: uncultured bacterium
Lineage: Bacteria
Description: partial 16S ribosomal RNA
Rfam family: Bacterial small subunit ribosomal RNA
Source: RNAcentral